Molecule: ribosomal RNA, 490 nt
Filed under: uncultured bacterium
Lineage: Bacteria
Description: partial 16S ribosomal RNA
Rfam family: Bacterial small subunit ribosomal RNA
Source: RNAcentral
GAUGAACGCUAGCGGCAGGCCUAAUACAUGCAAGUCGAACGGCAUCCCGAUCAAAGCUUGCUUUGGUCUGGUGCGAGUGGCGCACGGGUGCGUAACGCGUGAGCAACCUCCCCUUGUCAGGGGGAUAGCUCGGCGAAAGUCGGAUUAAUACCGAAUGACAUCAUUGGUAGGCACCUUUCGAUGUUCAACGUUUUAUCGUACAAGGAUGCGCUCGCGUGACAUUUGCUGGUGGGUAAGGUAACGGCUUACCAAGGCUGCGAUGUCGAGGGGCUCUGAGAGGAGGAUCCCCCACACUGGUACUGAGGCACAGACCAGACUCCUACGGAACGCAGCAGUAAGGAAGAUAAGGGGAUGGACGGUAGUCUGAACCAGCCGUGCCGGGUACAAAAGGACGGCGCUAGGAGUUGUAAUCUGUUGUUAUACAAAAGCAGACGUCGGUACGUGUACCGGUCUGAGGGUACCGAAAGAAUAAGGAUCGGCUAACUCCGUG